GCUCCUUUGACCUGUCCGAUGAAAUGCUGGUUAUGUUCUACAGUUACUACACACAGGACCAUGUAACACCCCGAAACCCAACUCUUGGGAUCUUAUUGGUAAAGCUAAAUGGGAGGCGUGGGAAGCCUUAGGAAAUGUGUCAAAGGACCAAGCCAUGCUGGAAUAUGUUCAGGAAAUACAGCUGGUUGUAAAGAUUGUAGAGAUGAAGCUCUCUCACACUGAGACAGGAUGGCAGAAUUAAUGGACACUCCUGACCCAUUUUAUGAGAUAGUGUUGGAAGGUGAUGAUGAUGAAGAAGAUGACGAGGCUAGUGAAGCAGCACCCUUAUCCACAGGUACUUUUAUGUAAAAGCAUUUAAUCAUUUAAUCUGAGCCCCUUUAAUCAACAUUUUAUAUUUUGAUGAAUUUUCAAACAGGAGACACUAAUGCUGAAAAAACGGAUGAUGCUGCCGCUGAGAAAGUUAAAGAGGGGGAAAGUGAAAUUAAUGGGGAAAAUAUAGAAGAUGACAUGGAGAUGGAGGAGAGAUUCAAGUGCAUUUGCAGCAGGGAGAGAAGAUUUAUCAGUGUUUAAUGGAAGUGAGGAGAACAGCAUGAUCUUCUCAGCUGAUGACGCUCAUUGUUCACUGAACACUGAGGAGGAAGAGGAGGAACUGGCUUAUGAUGACUCGGACGAUGAGAUGUACAGUGACUCAAUGGAAAAUACAGCAACACAAGAGAAGGGUUCGGGAGUUCCCAGGGUCCAUUUGGCAGAUGUGAGUGUGACUGGGGCCAACAUGCAACAAGGGGGAAACAGAGCGCCUCAGUGUGGGAGUCAGGAUGGAAAACCACAGGGAGUUACACCCCCCGUCCCCCACCCACCGACACUUGGACCGGUCCAAACUAACAGAAUCUCAGCAGGCAGUGGAAGAGGCUGAAAUCAUUCCCCUCAAAGCUUGGCACACUUAAGUCACCAAAAAAGAGGUUGCCUCGGUGGCCUUUAAACAUAUCCCCUAUCACUGUAGUGCUGACAGUUAUCUGGCCCUUUGCUGUGCACUGGCGGGUGCAGUUUUACUUACAGAAAAGGAGGAG
Molecule: long non-coding RNA, 1067 nt
Organism: Cyprinus carpio (common carp)
Lineage: Eukaryota; Metazoa; Chordata; Actinopteri; Cypriniformes; Cyprinidae
Source: Ensembl